UACGAGGAUCGAGGCGUAUCGAUUAAUUGGUUUAAGGGUGCGCAGGCGGACCGUGAGUCAGGGGGUGGAAAAUCUACGGCUCAACUGUAGACGUGCCUUUUGAUACUGCCGGACUAGAGUUAAGAUGGAGGGGGUGGAAUGUGUUGUGUAGCGGUGAAAUGCUUAGAUAUAACACAGAACACCGAUCGCGAAGGCAGCUCACUAAACUUUGUCUGACGCUCAUGCACGAAAGCGUGGGGAUCAAACAGGAUUAGAUACCCCGGUAGUCCACGCUGUAAACGAUGAUCACUCGCUGUUGGCGAUAUACCGUCAGUGGCUAAGCGAAAGUGAUAAGUGCUCCACCUGGGGAGUACGACCGCAAGGUUGAAACUCAAAGGAAUUGACGGGGGCCCGCACAAGCGGAGGUGCAUGUGGUUUAAUUCGAUGAUACGCGAGGAACCUUACCAGGGUUCGAACGUACAGCGACUUGUCGAGAAAUCGGCAGUCCCUUCGGGGCGAUGUACGAGGUGCUGCAUGGUUGUCGUCAGCUCGUGCCGUGAGGUGUCAGGUUAAGUCCUAUAACGAGCGCAACCCCUAUCGAUAGUUGCCAGCGGUUAAAGCCGGGCACUCUAUAGAAACUGCCGUACGCAAGUAGAGAGGAAGGUGGGGAUGACGUCAAAUCAGCACGGCCCUUAUGUCCUGGGCUACACACGUGCUACAAUGGUCGGUACAGAGGGUCGCUACCGGGUGACCGGAUGCUAAUCUCAAAAGCCGACCUCAGUUCGGAUCGGAGUCUGCAACCCGACUCCGUGAAGUUGGAUUCGCUAGUAAUCGCGCAUCAGCCAUGGCGCGGUGAAUACGUUCCCGGGCCU
RNAcentral lists this ribosomal RNA (851 nucleotides) under uncultured bacterium. RNAcentral's name for it is "bacterial SSU rRNA". It matches the Rfam family "Bacterial small subunit ribosomal RNA", at positions 524 to 1381 of the family's 1533-position model. The record is from RNAcentral.